AUACGUAGGUGACAAGCGUUAUCCGGAUUUACUGGGCGUAAAGGGCGUGUAGGCGGUCUUGCAAGUCAGAAGUGAAAUUCCUGAGCUCAACUCGGGCGCUGCUUCUGAAACUGCAGGACUUGAGUGCUGGAGGGGAUAGCGGAAUUCCUAGUGGAGCGGUAAAAUGCGCAGAUCUUAGUAUGAACACCGGUGGCGAAGGCGGUUCUCGGGACAGAAACUGACGCAGCGGCGCGAAAGGUUGGGCAGUAAACGGGAUAAGAGUCCCGCGGAUACCACGCUGUAAACGAUGAAUACUAGGUGUAGGGGGUAUCGACUCCCUCUGUGUCGCAGUUAACACAAUAAGUAUUCCGCCUGGGGGGUACGGCCGCAAGGCUGAAACUCAAAGGAAUUGAGGGGG
This 397-nucleotide ribosomal RNA is filed under the name uncultured bacterium. Its description in RNAcentral is "partial 16S ribosomal RNA". It matches the Rfam family "Bacterial small subunit ribosomal RNA", at positions 523 to 918 of the family's 1533-position model. The record is from RNAcentral.